AGAAACGGGAUUCUUCAGUUCGGCUGGCUAACACACAGGUGUUGCAUGGCUGUCGUCAGCUCGUGUCGUGAGAUGUUGGGUUAAGUCCCGCAACGAGCGCAACCCUCAUCUUUAGUUGCUACCAUUUAGUUGAGCACUCUAAAGAAACUGCCGGUGAUAAGCCGGAGGAAGGCGGGGAUGACGUCAAGUCCUCAUGGCCCUUACGGCCUGGGCUACACACGUGCUACAAUGGCGGUGACAGAGCGCAGCAAACCCGCGAGGGUUAGCGAAUCGCUAAAAACCGUCUCAGUUCGGAUUGCUCUCUGCAACUCGAGAGCAUGAAGCUGGAAUCGCUAG
This 336-nucleotide ribosomal RNA is filed under the name uncultured bacterium. RNAcentral's name for it is "bacterial SSU rRNA". It matches the Rfam family "Bacterial small subunit ribosomal RNA", at positions 1002 to 1338 of the family's 1533-position model. The record is from RNAcentral.